RNAcentral lists this ribosomal RNA (484 nucleotides) under uncultured bacterium. RNAcentral describes it as "partial 16S ribosomal RNA". It matches the Rfam family "Bacterial small subunit ribosomal RNA", at positions 30 to 507 of the family's 1533-position model. The record is from RNAcentral.
AUUGAACGCUGGCGGCAGGCCUAACACAUGCAAGUCGAGCGGAUGAAGGGAGCUUGCUCCUGGAUUCAGCGGCGGACGGGUGAGUAAUGCCUAGGAAUCUGCCUGGUAGUGGGGGAUAACGUCCGGACACGGGCGCUAAUACCGCAUACGUCCUGAGGGAGAAAGUGGGGGAUCUUCGGACCUCACGCUAUCAGAUGAGCCUAGGUCGGAUUAGCUAGUUGGUGGGGUAAAGGCCUACCAAGGCGACGAUCCGUAACUGGUCUGAGAGGAUGAUCAGUCACACUGGAACUGAGACACGGUCCAGACUCCUACGGGAGGCAGCAGUGGGGAAUAUUGGACAAUGGGCGAAAGCCUGAUCCAGCCAUGCCGCGUGUGUGAAGAAGGUCUUCGGAUUGUAAAGCACUUUAAGUUGGGAGGAAGGGCAGUAAGUUAAUACCUUGCUGUUUUGACGUUACCAACAGAGUAAGCACCGGCUAACUUCGUG